Molecule: non-coding RNA, 28 nt
Filed under: Bombyx mori (domestic silkworm)
Lineage: Eukaryota; Metazoa; Arthropoda; Insecta; Lepidoptera; Bombycidae
Source: RNAcentral
UUUGACAAGAGAGCGGACUCAAAUUUAC